This 220-nucleotide unclassified non-coding RNA is filed under the name uncultured Propionibacteriaceae bacterium. RNAcentral describes it as "contains 16S-23S intergenic spacer region". The record is from RNAcentral. Lineage: Bacteria; Bacillati; Actinomycetota; Actinomycetes; Propionibacteriales; Propionibacteriaceae.
UCCGAGUUGACCCCGGCAGUCUCCCAUGAGUCCCCACCAUUACGUGCUGGCAACAUGGAACGAGGGUUGCGCUCGUUGCGGGACUUAACCCAACAUCUCACGACACGAGCUGACGACAGCCAUGCACCACCUGUGCACGGCCCUUACGGACCCGACAUCUCUGCCGGAUUUCCGUGCAUGUCAAGCCCAGGUAAGGUGGGGAUGACGUGUAACCGAAUCU